UCCAUGCAUCUAUCCAUUGAUUGACGGACUAACCGGUUUUUGGAUUUAAAAUCUGCAAUGAGAUGGACUGACAUACAGUUCAUGAUCUGGGAUUUGUAAUGUUUACCAAAAUAGUCUCGUGUUGCGGCAUUACUGCAUUUUAAACUGGUGUAUUCUUUUUGAAGACAGAAUAACUAAUACAUGAUCAUCUGAAGGGCUCUGCCUCACUUUCCUGUAAUUAAUCACCUCCGAGGUGCAGUCUGACAGCUCCGGUAGCACAGUCUCCUACUUCCCCCGCUUGUUUCGGGGCUCUGGGCUUGUCUGGUUUGAGGGACUCUGAAUUAAGCAGAAUAACUGCGGCGAAAUUUCUCACCCCGGUAGCCCGAAGCACAAGACCGAAACGCGGUUGCCUGGGUGCAGCCAGGGGAGGUUGGCUGUCACACAACAGUUUAACUCCAAACCUCAGUCUGUUACACGGCACCGACGCUCUUCAAGCGAAUCCUCCAACUAUAGCACUCGGGCUGCCAGAGAACCACCUUCGAUCAGAGGAGCUGGAUCUCAGUACAUCUGUGAUAUGUGGAGGUGCCAGCCAACGGAGAGGAGCAAGGGUGGAGGCCGCAGGUCUAUCUGCUGUCCUUCUCGGCUGCUGAGGAUGCCUGGUUUUGUGUUAUCGAGUGACAGCUGCAUACCAAAGUAAACGAGGUGGAAUUUGGGCA
This is a long non-coding RNA of Paramormyrops kingsleyae, 695 nucleotides long. RefSeq lists it as uncharacterized. Lineage: Eukaryota; Metazoa; Chordata; Actinopteri; Osteoglossiformes; Mormyridae. The record is from RefSeq and is a predicted model, not a curated record.